This 443-nucleotide ribosomal RNA is filed under the name uncultured bacterium. RNAcentral describes it as "partial 16S ribosomal RNA". It matches the Rfam family "Bacterial small subunit ribosomal RNA", at positions 338 to 795 of the family's 1533-position model. The record is from RNAcentral.
CCUACGGGUGGCAGCAGUGGGGAAUAUUGCGCAAUGCUCGUAAGAGUGACGCAGCGACGCCGCGUGAAUGACGAAGGCCUUCGGGUCGUAAAGUUCUUUUCUAAGGGAAGAAGAAAGUGACGGUACCUUAGGAAUAAGCCUCGGCUAACUACGUGCCAGCAGCCGCGGCGAUACGUAGGAGGCGAGCGUUAUCCGGAAUGACUGGGCGUAAAGGGUGCGUAGGUGGUUUGGCAAGUUAGUAGGGUAACUCCAAGGCUCAACCUUGGAACUACUACUAAAACUGUUGGACUUGAGUGCAGGAGGGGCAACCGGAAUUCCUAGUGUAGCGGUGGAAUGCGUAGAUAUUAGGAGGAACACCAGUGGCGAAGGCGGGUUACUAGACUGUAACUGACACUGAGGCACGAAAGCGUGGGGAGCGAACAGGAUUAGAUACCCCAGUAGUC